AUACGGAGGAUGCGAGCGUUAUCCGGAUUUAUUGGGUUUAAAGGGAGCGUAGGCGGGAGCUUAAGUCAGCGGUUAAAUGGUGCGGCUCAACCGUGCCCUGCCGUUGAAACUGGGUUUCUUGAGAGUGCAAGAGGCGGAUGGAAUUCAUGGGGUAGGGGGGAAAUGCUUAGAUAUCAUGAAGAACUCCGAUUGCGAAGGCAGUCCGCUGGGGCACGUCUGACGCUCAUGCUCGAAGGUGCGGGUAUCAAGCAGGAUUAGAUACCCUGGUAGUCCGCACAGUAAACGAUGGACACCCGCGGUUUGGCCUAUAUGGCUGAGCCGCCAAGCGAAAGCGUUAAGUGUCCCACCUGGGGAGUACGCCGGCAACGGUGAAACUCAAAUGAAUUGGCGGGG
Molecule: ribosomal RNA, 393 nt
Filed under: uncultured bacterium
Lineage: Bacteria
Description: partial 16S ribosomal RNA
Rfam family: Bacterial small subunit ribosomal RNA
Source: RNAcentral